This 30-nucleotide non-coding RNA is filed under the name Homo sapiens (human). The record is from RNAcentral. Lineage: Eukaryota; Metazoa; Chordata; Mammalia; Primates; Hominidae.
UCAGCCCUAGAGGGUAGAAAGUUUUCCCAA